CCCUUGUUCCUAGACAUCUAAGUCGCCGAACCCUCCCGUUCACCCCUCAAAGAGGAAAAUGAUCAGAAAUCCUCACCCCAAACCAAGCUUCCCCAGGAGAAGCGCGCAGCAGGAAAAACCCAGGGGGCUCGGAGAAGCCCCGGGAUGCUGGGGGCCGGUCGGGGCCAGGGUCGUCCCGGCUCGUCUCCAGCUGGCGGCGGGGACGGAUUACAGAAGCCGAAGGUGUUUCCCGGAGCGGGAAGAACGCGCGGCUGUGUUCAUGGCCAGGUCUCUAGCGACUCUCGAUUUCGCUUGGUCAAAAAAUUCCCCAGAGCUUGGCGUCUCUCGGAAGGCGGCAGGGCGGCAGCGGCUAGCCGGGUCCCCAGCACGGAGGCAAAAAUCCGCGGGAUCCGCCGCACGGCGCCGGGCAGCUGGCCCCGGAGCCCUAGCCCGCCGCCGCCGCGCGCCGCGAGCCCCCGCGCACAACUUUCCGUGUCCUCGCGCAGCCGGGGGGCGCGUGGCGGGCACACGCGCGCUAUUUAUAGGAGCGCACGCCGGCUGGGCUUGGCUCGCUGCUCAGCCCGCCGACCCCCCGGGAAGGGAAAGGCGGCCCGGGACCCUCGCUGAGCAGCUCCCGCCUGGCCUGGAACAGACCUCCGGCACGCGAGGCGCACGGCUCUGCUGGCCGCCGAGGUGGAUGGCUUCCUACUCCUUCCUGAAAGAACACCACCCUCCUGAGCCUGAAUUCAAGCUGCUCCAGACAGAAGUCAGACCUGCGUCUCCAGGCUUGUCCCCUCAUCAGGUCCUCCCAGAGGGCUGUGUGCUGAGCCACAAGCAUCGCACUGCAGCUCCAAUUGUUAAAAUCAGAAAUGCUUCUUCCAGUUGGUAUUUCCCCAACCCCUACCUCCAUAUAAUCUUGCGACUAAGGUUCCUGGAGCCAAAGGGGCCUGCAGAGUGUGCUCCAGUGAGGCCAGUAUCAGCUCUGAUUGUGGGUCCACGUGCUGUGCUAUUUGUAAAACUGUUGAGUCACUAAUCCACCCCAAGCCUAGCAGAGCUUUUCGCCUGAACCCUGGCUGCACUUUGUACCUCUCUCCUGGUUUUCAGCACAGUC
Molecule: long non-coding RNA, 1090 nt
Organism: Bos taurus (domestic cattle)
Lineage: Eukaryota; Metazoa; Chordata; Mammalia; Artiodactyla; Bovidae
Source: Ensembl